AAUAGCUCACUGGUCGAGUGAUUCUGCGCCGAAAAUUUCCGGGGCUAAAACUUACUACCGAAGCUACGGCAUCAUUAUGAUGGGUAGGGGAGCUUUCUAUGUGGCUUGAAGCAUGACCGUAAGGACAUGUGGACUGCAUAGAAGUGAGAAUGUUGGCAUGAGUAGCGAGAUGUGGGUGAGAAUCCCACAGGCCGUAAACCCAAGGUUUCCAGGGGAAGGUUCGUCCGCCCUGGGUUAGUCAGGACCUAAGCCGAGGCCGAAAGGCGUAGGUGAUGGACAACAGGUUGAUAUUCCUGUACCACCAAUAACCGUUUGAGAAAUGGGAUGACACAGUAGGAUAAGCUAACCGCACUGUUGGUUAUGUGCGGGCAAGUAUUGAGGCAGUUCCGAUAGGCAAAUCCGUCGGAAUAAUGCUGGGGUACGAUGCGGAGCGAAAUUUAGUAGCGAAGUAGCUGAUUUCACACUGUCGAGAAAAGUCUCUAUCGAGGUUAAAGGUGCCUGUACCGCAAACCGACACAGGUGGGUGAGGAGAGUAUCCUAAGGCCAGCGAGAGAACUGUUGUUAAGGAACUCGGCAAAAUGACCCCGUAACUUCGGGAGAAGGGGUGCCUUCGAAAGAAGGCCGCAGAGAAUAGGCCCAAGCGACUGUUUACCAAAAACAUAGGUUUCUGCUAAGUCGCAAGACGAUGUAUAGGAGCUGACGCCUGCCCGGUGCUGGAAGGUUAAGGGGAUCUGUUAGAGCAAUCGAAGCAGUGAACUUAAGCCCCAGUAAACGGCGGCCGUAACUAUAACGGUCCUAAGGUAGCGAAAUUCCUUGUCGGGUAAGUUCCGACCCGCACGAAAGGCGUAACGAUUUGGGCACUGUCUCAACAACAGACCCGGUGAAAUUGUAAUACCGGUGAAGAUGCCGGUUACCUGCGACAGGACGGAAAGACCCCAUGGAGCUUUACUGUAGCUUGACAUUGAGUCUCGGUGCUACAUGUACAGGAUAGGUGGGAGACUAUGAAGCAUGGACGUCAGUCUGUGUGGAGUCAUCCUUGGGAUACCACCCUUGUAGUACUGGGAUUCUAACCAGAGGCCAUGAAUCUGG
Molecule: ribosomal RNA, 1089 nt
Filed under: human gut metagenome
Description: bacterial LSU rRNA
Rfam family: Bacterial large subunit ribosomal RNA
Source: RNAcentral